This 2902-nucleotide ribosomal RNA is filed under the name Escherichia coli UMEA 3065-1. Its description in RNAcentral is "bacterial LSU rRNA". It matches the Rfam family "Bacterial large subunit ribosomal RNA". Lineage: Bacteria; Pseudomonadati; Pseudomonadota; Gammaproteobacteria; Enterobacterales; Enterobacteriaceae. The record is from RNAcentral.
UUAAGCGACUAAGCGUACACGGUGGAUGCCCUGGCAGUCAGAGGCGAUGAAGGACGUGCUAAUCUGCGAUAAGCGUCGGUAAGGUGAUAUGAACCGUUAUAACCGGCGAUUUCCGAAUGGGGAAACCCAGUGUGUUUCGACACACUAUCAUUAACUGAAUCCAUAGGUUAAUGAGGCGAACCGGGGGAACUGAAACAUCUAAGUACCCCGAGGAAAAGAAAUCAACCGAGAUUCCCCCAGUAGCGGCGAGCGAACGGGGAGCAGCCCAGAGCCUGAAUCAGUGUGUGUGUUAGUGGAAGCGUCUGGAAAGGCGCGCGAUACAGGGUGACAGCCCCGUACACAAAAAUGCACAUAUUGUGAGCUCGAUGAGUAGGGCGGGACACGUGGUAUCCUGUCUGAAUAUGGGGGGACCAUCCUCCAAGGCUAAAUACUCCUGACUGACCGAUAGUGAACCAGUACCGUGAGGGAAAGGCGAAAAGAACCCCGGCGAGGGGAGUGAAAAAGAACCUGAAACCGUGUACGUACAAGCAGUGGGAGCACGCUUAGGCGUGUGACUGCGUACCUUUUGUAUAAUGGGUCAGCGACUUAUAUUCUGUAGCAAGGUUAACCGAAUAGGGGAGCCGAAGGGAAACCGAGUCUUAACUGGGCGUUAAGUUGCAGGGUAUAGACCCGAAACCCGGUGAUCUAGCCAUGGGCAGGUUGAAGGUUGGGUAACACUAACUGGAGGACCGAACCGACUAAUGUUGAAAAAUUAGCGGAUGACUUGUGGCUGGGGGUGAAAGGCCAAUCAAACCGGGAGAUAGCUGGUUCUCCCCGAAAGCUAUUUAGGUAGCGCCUCGUGAAUUCAUCUCCGGGGGUAGAGCACUGUUUCGGCAAGGGGGUCAUCCCGACUUACCAACCCGAUGCAAACUGCGAAUACCGGAGAAUGUUAUCACGGGAGACACACGGCGGGUGCUAACGUCCGUCGUGAAGAGGGAAACAACCCAGACCGCCAGCUAAGGUCCCAAAGUCAUGGUUAAGUGGGAAACGAUGUGGGAAGGCCCAGACAGCCAGGAUGUUGGCUUAGAAGCAGCCAUCAUUUAAAGAAAGCGUAAUAGCUCACUGGUCGAGUCGGCCUGCGCGGAAGAUGUAACGGGGCUAAACCAUGCACCGAAGCUGCGGCAGCGACGCUUAUGCGUUGUUGGGUAGGGGAGCGUUCUGUAAGCCUGUGAAGGUGUGCUGUGAGGCAUGCUGGAGGUAUCAGAAGUGCGAAUGCUGACAUAAGUAACGAUAAAGCGGGUGAAAAGCCCGCUCGCCGGAAGACCAAGGGUUCCUGUCCAACGUUAAUCGGGGCAGGGUGAGUCGACCCCUAAGGCGAGGCCGAAAGGCGUAGUCGAUGGGAAACAGGUUAAUAUUCCUGUACUUGGUGUUACUGCGAAGGGGGGACGGAGAAGGCUAUGUUGGCCGGGCGACGGUUGUCCCGGUUUAAGCGUGUAGGCUGGUUUUCCAGGCAAAUCCGGAAAAUCAAGGCUGAGGCGUGAUGACGAGGCACUACGGUGCUGAAGCAACAAAUGCCCUGCUUCCAGGAAAAGCCUCUAAGCAUCAGGUAACAUCAAAUCGUACCCCAAACCGACACAGGUGGUCAGGUAGAGAAUACCAAGGCGCUUGAGAGAACUCGGGUGAAGGAACUAGGCAAAAUGGUGCCGUAACUUCGGGAGAAGGCACGUUGAUAUGUAGGUGAAGUCCCUUGCGGAUGGAGCUGAAAUCAGUCGAAGAUACCAGCUGGCUGCAACUGUUUAUUAAAAACACAGCACUGUGCAAACACGAAAGUGGACGUAUACGGUGUGACGCCUGCCCGGUGCCGGAAGGUUAAUUGAUGGGGUUAGCGCAAGCGAAGCUCUUGAUCGAAGCCCCGGUAAACGGCGGCCGUAACUAUAACGGUCCUAAGGUAGCGAAAUUCCUUGUCGGGUAAGUUCCGACCUGCACGAAUGGCGUAAUGAUGGCCAGGCUGUCUCCACCCGAGACUCAGUGAAAUUGAACUCGCUGUGAAGAUGCAGUGUACCCGCGGCAAGACGGAAAGACCCCGUGAACCUUUACUAUAGCUUGACACUGAACAUUGAGCCUUGAUGUGUAGGAUAGGUGGGAGGCUUUGAAGUGUGGACGCCAGUCUGCAUGGAGCCGGCCUUGAAAUACCACCCUUUAAUGUUUGAUGUUCUAACGUUGACCCGUAAUCCGGGUUGCGGACAGUGUCUGGUGGGUAGUUUGACUGGGGCGGUCUCCUCCUAAAGAGUAACGGAGGAGCACGAAGGUUGGCUAAUCCUGGUCGGACAUCAGGAGGUUAGUGCAAUGGCAUAAGCCAGCUUGACUGCGAGCGUGACGGCGCGAGCAGGUGCGAAAGCAGGUCAUAGUGAUCCGGUGGUUCUGAAUGGAAGGGCCAUCGCUCAACGGAUAAAAGGUACUCCGGGGAUAACAGGCUGAUACCGCCCAAGAGUUCAUAUCGACGGCGGUGUUUGGCACCUCGAUGUCGGCUCAUCACAUCCUGGGGCUGAAGUAGGUCCCAAGGGUAUGGCUGUUCGCCAUUUAAAGUGGUACGCGAGCUGGGUUUAGAACGUCGUGAGACAGUUCGGUCCCUAUCUGCCGUGGGCGCUGGAGAACUGAGGGGGGCUGCUCCUAGUACGAGAGGACCGGAGUGGACGCAUCACUGGUGUUCGGGUUGUCAUGCCAAUGGCACUGCCCGGUAGCUAAAUGCGGAAGAGAUAAGUGCUGAAAGCAUCUAAGCACGAAACUUGCCCCGAGAUGAGUUCUCCCUGACUCCUUGAGAGUCCUGAAGGAACGUUGAAGACGACGACGUUGAUAGGCCGGGUGUGUAAGCGCAGCGAUGCGUUGAGCUAACCGGUACUAAUGAACCGUGAGGCUUAACCUU